GGGAGUAUGGCUUAGUGGUAGAGUGCAUGCACGCAUGAAGCCCUGAGUUCAAUUCCUCAGUACCA
This 65-nucleotide transfer RNA is filed under the name Dipodomys ordii (Ord's kangaroo rat). It matches the Rfam family "tRNA". From Rfam's summary of the family: Transfer RNA (tRNA) molecules are approximately 80 nucleotides in length. Their secondary structure includes four short double-helical elements and three loops (D, anti-codon, and T loops). Lineage: Eukaryota; Metazoa; Chordata; Mammalia; Rodentia; Heteromyidae. The record is from Rfam by way of RNAcentral.